This 253-nucleotide ribosomal RNA is filed under the name uncultured bacterium. RNAcentral's name for it is "partial 16S ribosomal RNA". It matches the Rfam family "Bacterial small subunit ribosomal RNA", at positions 524 to 776 of the family's 1533-position model. The record is from RNAcentral.
UACAGAGGGUGCAAGCGUUAAUCGGAAUUACUGGGCGUAAAGCGUGCGUAGGCGGUUCAGCAAGUCGGGUGUGAAAUCCCUGGGCUUAACCCAGGAACUGCAUUCGAUACUACUGAGCUGGAGUAUGGUAGAGGGUAGUGGAAUUCCGGGUGUAGCGGUGAAAUGCGUAGAUAUCCGGAGGAACACCAGUGGCGAAGGCGGCUACCUGGACCAAUACUGACGCUGAGGCACGAAAGCGUGGGGAGCAAACAGG